GCCACUUGUUGAUGUUGCGAAUUUCUGUUACCUUUUUCGAUAUUUUACUGGAUUUUUGAUACGUUUUACACACAUAUAUUGACACAAUUUUUCCACAUCAUGGACACAGAGGACAAGACUGAAUUACAGGACCAUGAGCAUGACGAGGACUUGGCAGUUUUAUCAAUAAACCAAUGUAAACAUAACCUGACUGUAUGAGCUUCGCGAGUUAACAUUAGGGCCUGUAUCAGUGUAUGAAAACUGCCUGGCAAGAUUCAAAGCUUGGAAUGGAGAAUUGGGCAUCAACUUUCAUCACCGAUUUAUAACAGUGUUUUUAAUGAGGUAUGAGACAGAAAAAGAGGGCAAAGAAACAUUAAACCGAUAUAAAGUUGGGAAGGCCUACCAGUACUUCCAGAGCCAGUGACUGUCACUGAAAGAAGUGUUUUACCACCCUAUUGACAGAACCAGUCCAUAUUGCUUUCUGUGUGCCGCAUGUACCCCUCACAGAGCCUGUGUUCUGAGCCUCAUACAGGGUUUGGACAAACAUGUACCAAUCAUGUUGCAGGAUUAAGGAUAGUGAGGAGGUCAACUUUUAAGCAACCUUUUCAGAUGCAUUUAGAGAAACCUUACCCGAUGCUUGUUUAUUUAAAGGUCUAGAUGUUGAUCCACCUCACCAAGCCAAGGAGAAGGAACCACAUGCUUCCGGAGCAGAUAUGAUUGAGGAGGAUUGCUUACAGAUCGACGUCCAACAAUACUACAUGAAAUCUAUGUUAUCAUCAUUUUAACAAUCUGACACUAGCAUCAAGAUCCAUCCCUUUACCAUUAUAUAAGUAACAGUACUAAAGCUCAAUCUUCCAAUAGUUGGAGUCUACAUUUUUUAUUGUGGUUAAUAUGCAUAUUUACCUGUGAAUUUUCCAUUUCUGGGCUAUAUAUGUUUUAUUUUUAAAUAAUAUUUGUCUCAAAUAAACUGCUAUUAAUAUACCUGUAUUUUACUGAAUUUAAGUAAC
Molecule: long non-coding RNA, 986 nt
Organism: Saccostrea cuccullata (small rock oyster)
Lineage: Eukaryota; Metazoa; Mollusca; Bivalvia; Ostreida; Ostreidae
Exons: 4
Source: RefSeq, a predicted model, not a curated record